GAGAACAAGAAGAAGCACCCGCUUCUCGCCUAAGUUGAUAUACCUCUGGGCUGAUCGAUAAUAUCUGUUGAUUAAAAGCGGGCGUUAACUUUGCCCGCUUUUUUCUUGUCCU
Molecule: non-coding RNA, 112 nt
Organism: Lactobacillus hominis
Lineage: Bacteria; Bacillati; Bacillota; Bacilli; Lactobacillales; Lactobacillaceae
Source: Rfam